Molecule: microRNA precursor, 100 nt
Filed under: Nomascus leucogenys (northern white-cheeked gibbon)
Lineage: Eukaryota; Metazoa; Chordata; Mammalia; Primates; Hylobatidae
Description: miRNA (ENSNLEG00000026121.2)
Source: RNAcentral
CCUAGAAUGUUAUUAGGUUGGUGCAAAAGUAAUUACGACUUUUACCAUUACUUUCUUCAAUGGCAAAACUGGCAAUUACUUUUGCACCAACGUAAUACUU